RNAcentral lists this ribosomal RNA (723 nucleotides) under fungal sp. APA-2013. Its description in RNAcentral is "eukaryotic LSU rRNA". It matches the Rfam family "Eukaryotic large subunit ribosomal RNA", at positions 24 to 654 of the family's 3401-position model. The record is from RNAcentral. Lineage: Eukaryota; Fungi.
CCGGCUGAACUUAAGCAUAUCAAUAAGCGGAGGAAAAGAAAAUAACAAUGAUUUCCCUAGUAACGGCGAGUGAAGAGGAAAGAGCUCAAAGUUGGAACCUGUUUGGCUUAGCUAAACCGGAUUGUAAACUGUAGAAACAUUUUCCAGAUACACUAGAUUAAAAAGUCCUUUGGAACAGGGCAUCAUAGAGGGUGAGAAUCCCGUCUUUGGUCUAAGUAGUUGUCUAUUGUGAUAUGUUUUCAAAGAGUCAGGUUGUUUGGGAAUGCAGCCUAAAUUGGGUGGUAAAUCUCACCUAAAGCUAAAUAUUUGCGAGAGACCGAUAGCGAACAAGUACCGUGAGGGAAAGAUGAAAAGAACUUUGAAAAGAGAGUUAAACAGUAUGUGAAAUUGUUAAAAGGGAACCGUUUGGAGCCAGAUUGGCUUGAUUGUAAUCAACCUAGAAUUCGUUUUGGGUGCACUUGCAGUCUAUGCCUGCCAACGACAGUUUGAUUUGGAGGAAAAAAUUAAUAGGAAUGUGGCCUUUCGAGGUGUUAUAGCCUAUUAUCAUACUCUGGAUUGGACUGAGGAACGCAGUGAAUGCCUUUAGGCAAGAUUGCUGGGCGCUUUCGCUAAUAAAUGUUAGAAUUUCUGCUUCGGGUGGUGCUAAUGUUUAAAGGAGGAACCCGCUUAGUAUAUUUUUUAUUCGCUUAGGUUGUUGGCUUAAUGACUCUAAAUGACCCGUCU